GAUGAACGCUGGCGGCGUGCCUAAUACAUGCAAGUCGAGCGAACAGACGAGGAGCUUGCUCCUCUGACGUUAGCGGCGGACGGGUGAGUAACACGUGGAUAACCUACCUAUAAGACUGGGAUAACUUCGGGAAACCGGAGCUAAUACCGGAUAAUAUAUUGAACCGCAUGGUUCAAUAGUGAAAGACGGUUUUGCUGUCACUUAUAGAUGGAUCCGCGCCGCAUUAGCUAGUUGGUAAGGUAACGGCUUACCAAGGCAACGAUGCGUAGCCGACCUGAGAGGGUGAUCGGCCACACUGGAACUGAGACACGGUCCAGACUCCUACGGGACGCAGCAGUAGGGAAUCUUCCGCAAUGGGCGAAAGCCUGACGGAGCAACGCCGCGUGAGUGAUGAAGGCCUUCGGAUCGUAAAACUCUGUUAUUAGGGAAGAACAAAUGUGUAAGUAACUAUGCACGUCUUGACGGUACCUAAUCAGAAAGCCACGGCUAACUACGUG
This 497-nucleotide ribosomal RNA is filed under the name uncultured bacterium. RNAcentral describes it as "partial 16S ribosomal RNA". It matches the Rfam family "Bacterial small subunit ribosomal RNA", at positions 28 to 507 of the family's 1533-position model. The record is from RNAcentral.